This 28-nucleotide non-coding RNA is filed under the name Homo sapiens (human). Lineage: Eukaryota; Metazoa; Chordata; Mammalia; Primates; Hominidae. The record is from RNAcentral.
UGGGGGGAAGAAUGGGAAGGACCUGGGC